RNAcentral lists this ribosomal RNA (460 nucleotides) under uncultured bacterium. RNAcentral describes it as "partial 16S ribosomal RNA". It matches the Rfam family "Bacterial small subunit ribosomal RNA", at positions 338 to 795 of the family's 1533-position model. The record is from RNAcentral.
CCUACGGGAGGCAGCAGUGAGGAAUAUUGGUCAAUGGACGAGAGUCUGAACCAGCCAAGUAGCGUGAAGGAUGACUGCCCUAUGGGUUGUAAACUUCUUUUAUAUGGGAAUAAAACAGGGUAUGCAUACCCUCUUGUAUGUACCAUAUGAAUAAGGAUCGGCUAACUCCGUGCCAGCAGCCGCGGUAAUACGGAGGAUCCGAGCGUUAUCCGUAUUUAUUGGGUUUAAAGGGAGCGUAGGUGGAUUGUUAAGUCAGUUGUGAAAGUUUGCGGCUCAACCGUAAAAUUGCAGUUGAAACUGGCAGUCGUGAGUACAGUAGAGGUGGGCGGAAGUCGUGGUGUAGCGGUGAAAUGCUUAGAUAUCACGAAGAACUCCGAUUGCGAAGGCAGCUCACUGGACUGCAACUGACACUGAUGCUCGAAAGUGUGGGUAUCAAACAGGAUUAGAUACCCGGGUAGUC